AUUGAACGCUGGCGGCAUGCCUUACACAUGCAAGUCGAACGGUAACGGGCCUUCGGGUGCCGACGAGUGGCGAACGGGUGAGUAAUACAUCGGAACGUGCCCGAUCGUGGGGGAUAACGAGGCGAAAGCUUUGCUAAUACCGCAUACGAUCUACGGAUGAAAGCAGGGGACCGCAAGGCCUUGCGCGGACGGAGCGGCCGAUGGCAGAUUAGGUAGUUGGUGGGAUAAAAGCUUACCAAGCCGACGAUCUGUAGCUGGUCUGAGAGGAUGAUCAGCCACACUGGGACUGAGACACGGCCCAGACUCCUACGGGAGGCCGCAGUGGGGAAUUUUGGACAAUGGGCGCAAGCCUGAUCCAGCCAUGCCGCGUGCAGGAUGAAGGCCUUCGGGUUGUAAACUGCUUUUGUACGGAACGAAAAGCCUUCUUUUAAUACAGGAGGGUCAUGACGGUACCGUAAGAAUAAGCACCGGCUAACUACGUG
RNAcentral lists this ribosomal RNA (482 nucleotides) under uncultured bacterium. RNAcentral describes it as "partial 16S ribosomal RNA". It matches the Rfam family "Bacterial small subunit ribosomal RNA", at positions 30 to 507 of the family's 1533-position model. The record is from RNAcentral.